Molecule: ribosomal RNA, 361 nt
Filed under: uncultured bacterium
Lineage: Bacteria
Description: partial 16S ribosomal RNA
Rfam family: Bacterial small subunit ribosomal RNA
Source: RNAcentral
CCUACGGGGCGCAGCAGUGAGGAAUAUUGGUCAAUGGGCGAGAGACUGAACCAGCCAAGCCGCGUGAGGGAAGACGGCCCUAUGGGUUGUAAACCUCUUUUGUCCGAGAACAAAAGCCGGGACGUGUACCGGUCUGAGGGUAUCCGAAGAAAAAGGAUCGGCUAACUCCGUGCCAGCAGCCGCGGUAAUACGGAGGAUGCGAGCGUUAUCCGGAUUUAUUGGGUUUAAAGGGUGCGUAGGCGGUCUGUUAAGUUAGCGGUAAAAUUGCGGGGCUCAACCCCGUCGAGCCGUUGAAACUGGCAGUCUUGAGUUGGCGAGAAGUAUGCGGAAUGCGCGGUGUAGCGGUGAAAUGCAUAGAGAU